AUGGGGUGCAGACUGGGGUGGGGGCACCCAUGGGGUCAGGGAACCCCAAUAAAGGAGCCCUAUGGGCAGCAGACAAGGGUAGGGGGCAGCAGGGGACAAGGGGCGGGGCCAGGAGGAGGGGGCGUGGCUUUAGGUGGAGGCUCCACCCCCGAAGGGAAGACACAGGAGGGGGGAAGUGGGCGGAGUCUAUGCAAAUGGAGGCGUGGCAUGCCCUUAUAUGGGAGGGGAGAGGGGCGUGUCUUACCCAUCAGGGGGCGGGGCCAGGCGGAGGGGGUGUGGCUUCAGUCGAAGCCAAUGGGAGCCGGUGUAGAAGUGGGCGGGGUCUACCCAAAUGGGGGCGUGGCUUGGAGAUAUGGGCGGGGGAAAGGGGCGUGUCUUGCCCUUAUAUGGGAGAGGAAAGGGGCGUGUCUUACCCUUAUAUGGGAGGGGAAAGGGGCGUGUCUUGCCCUUAUAUGGGAAGGGAAAGGGGCGUGUCUUACCCUUAUAUGGGUGGGGGAAGGGGGCGUGUCUUGCCCUUAUAUGGGAGAGGAAAGGGGCGUGUCUUGCCCUUAUAUGGGAGGGGAAGGGGCGUGUCUUGCCCUUAUAUGGGAGAGGAAAGGGGCGUGUCUUGUCCUUAUAUGGGAAGGGAAAGGGGCGUGUCUUGCCCUUAUAUGGGAGAGGAAAGGGGCGUGUCUUGCCCUUAUAUGGGAGGGAAAGGGGCGUGUCUUACCCUUAUAUGGGAGGGGAAGGGGGCGUGUCUUGCCCUUAUAUGGGAAGGGAAAGGGGCGUGUCUUGCCCUUAUAUGGAGGGGAAGGGGGCGUGGCUUACCCUUAUAUGGGCGGGGAAAGGGGCGUGUCUUACCCUUAUAUGGGAGGGGAAAGGGGCGUGUCUUGUCCUUAUAUGGGAGGGGAAAGGGGCGUGUCUUGCCCUUAUAUGGGAGGGGAAAGGGGCGUGUCUUACCCUUAUAUGGGAGGGGAAAGGGGCGUGUCUUACCCUUAUAUGGGAGGGGAAAGGGGCGUGUCUUGCCCUUAUAUGGGAGGGGAAGGGGGCGUGUCUUGCCCUUAUACGGGAGGGGAAGGGGCGUGUCUUGUCCUUAUAUGGGAAGGGAAAGGGGCGUGUCUUGCCCUUAUAUGGGAGGGGAAAGGGGCGUGUCUUACCCUUAUAUGGGAGGGGAAAGGGGCGUGUCUUGCCCUUAUAUGGGAGGGGAAAGGGGCGUGUCUUGCCCUUAUAUGGGUGGGGGAAGGGGCGUGUCUUGCCCUUAUAUGGGAGGGGAAGGGGGCAUGUCUUACCCUUAUAUGGGUGGGGGAAGGGGGCAUGUCUUGCCCUUAUAUGGGAGGGGAAGGGGGCGUGUCUUGUCCUUAUAUGGGUGGGGGAAGGGGGCGUGUCUUGCCCUUAUAUGGGAGAGGAAAGGGGCGUGUCUUGCCCUUAUAUGGGAGGGGAAGGGGGCGUGUCUUACCCUUAUAUGGGAGGGAAAGGGGCGUCUUACCCUUAUAUGGGAGAGGAAAGGGGCGUGUCUUGCCCUUAUAUGGGAGGGGAAGGGGGCGUGUCUUGCCCUUAUAUGGGAGGGGAAAGGGGCGUGUCUUGCCCUUAUAUGGGAGGGGAAAGGGGCGUGUCUUGCCCUUAUAUGGGAGGGAAAGGGUCGUGUCUUGCCCUUAUAUGGGAAGGGAAGUGUCUUGUCCUUAUAUGGGAGGGGAAGGGGCGUGUCUUGCCCUUAUAUGGGAGGGGAAGGGGGCGUGUCUUGCCCUUAUAUGGGAGAGGAAGGGGGCGUGUCUUACCCUUAUAUGGGAGGGGAAGGGGCGUGUCUUACCCUUAUAUGGGAGGGGAAGGGGCGUGUCUUGCCCUUAUAUGGGCGGGGAAGGGGGCGUGGCUUACCCGUCGGGGGCGGGGCCAGGCGCGGCCGGUGAGGGGGGGCCGGACUCGGAGGAGCUGGAGCUGGAGUCGGAGUCGGAGGAGGAUGAGGAGGAGGAGGAGGAAGAAGAGGACGAGGAUGAAGAGGAUGAGGAUGAGGAGGAGGAGGAGCCUCCCUUGGGCGUGGCCGUGACGUCAGCGGUGACGUCAGCAGUGACGUCAGCGGUGCUGGUGUCCGGAGGGGGGGCGCUGGCUGUGGUGUCCGCGGCGGCCUUGGUUAUACUGGGAGCACUGGGAGCACUGGUAUCCAUAGGAGCAAUGGUGGUACUGGGAGCACUGGUCAGACUGGUGCCACUGGAAGCAAUGGUAUCCUUAGGAGCAAUGGUGGUACUGGGAGCAC
Long non-coding RNA from Melopsittacus undulatus (budgerigar), 2227 nucleotides. The record is from Ensembl. NCBI's taxonomy places the organism in Eukaryota, Metazoa, Chordata, Aves, Psittaciformes, Psittaculidae.